UGGCGGCAGGCCUAACACAUGCAAGUCGAACGGUAGCACAGAGAGCUUGCUCUCGGGUGACGAGUGGCGGACGGGUGAGUAAUGUCUGGGAAACUGCCCGAUGGAGGGGGAUAACUACUGGAAACGGUAGCUAAUACCGCAUAACGUCGCAAGACCAAAGAGGGGGACCUUCGGGCCUCUUGCCAUCGGAUGUGCCCAGAUGGGAUUAGCUAGUAGGUGGGGUAACGGCUCACCUAGGCGACGAUCCCUAGCUGGUCUGAGAGGAUGACCAGCCACACUGGAACUGAGACACGGUCCAGACUCCUACGGGAGGCAGCAGUGGGGAAUAUUGCACAAUGGGCGCAAGCCUGAUGCAGCCAUGCCGCGUGUAUGAAGAAGGCCUUCGGGUUGUAAAGUACUUUCAGCGAGGAGGAAGGCAUUAAGGUUAAUAACCUUAGUGAUUGACGUUACUCGCAGAAGAAGCACCGGCUAACUCCGUGCCAGCAGCCGCGGUAAUACGGAGGGUGCAAGCGUUAAUCGGAAUUACUGGGCGUAAAGCGCACGCAGGCGGUCUGUCAAGUCGGAUGUGAAAUCCCCGGGCUCAACCUGGGAACUGCAUUCGAAACUGGCAGGCUAGAGUCUUGUAGAGGGGGGUAGAAUUCCAGGUGUAGCGGUGAAAUGCGUAGAGAUCUGGAGGAAUACCGGUGGCGAAGGCGGCCCCCUGGACAAAGACUGACGCUCAGGUGCGAAAGCGUGGGGAGCAAACAGGAUCAGAUACCCUGGUAGUCCACGCCGUAAACGAUGUCUAUUUGAAGGUUGUUCCCCUGAGGAGUGGCUUUCGGAGCUAACGCGUUAAAUAGACCGCCUGGGGAGUACGGCCG
RNAcentral lists this ribosomal RNA (860 nucleotides) under uncultured bacterium. RNAcentral describes it as "bacterial SSU rRNA". It matches the Rfam family "Bacterial small subunit ribosomal RNA", at positions 37 to 888 of the family's 1533-position model. The record is from RNAcentral.